RNAcentral lists this ribosomal RNA (408 nucleotides) under Triticum aestivum (bread wheat). Its description in RNAcentral is "partial small subunit ribosomal RNA". Lineage: Eukaryota; Viridiplantae; Streptophyta; Magnoliopsida; Poales; Poaceae. The record is from RNAcentral.
AUGGCGAGCCCAAUGGUGGCAACCCCAAUCCGCCUCAGCAGCCUCAGAUACGCCCCUCCUUCCCCAGCACCCAGAGGACGGUUCGUGGCGGCGAGGGUGAGGGCGUCGGCGGAGGCGAUGGCGACGGAGAAGCUCGGCGUCAGGGUGGAGCGCAACCCGGCCGAGUCCCGCCUCUCCGAGCUCGGCGUCCGCCAGUGGCCCAAGUGGGGGUGCGAUAAGAGCAAGUUCCCGUGGACCUACUCGGCCAAGGAGACGUGCUACCUGCUGCAGGGGAAGGUGAAGGUGUACCCGGACGGUGAGGAGGGGUUCGUGGAGAUCGCGGCGGGGGACCUGGUGGUCUUCCCCAAGGGGAUGAGCUGCACCUGGGACGUCACCGAGGCCGUCGACAAGCACUACAAGUUCGAGUAG